RNAcentral lists this ribosomal RNA (253 nucleotides) under uncultured bacterium. Its description in RNAcentral is "partial 16S ribosomal RNA". It matches the Rfam family "Bacterial small subunit ribosomal RNA", at positions 524 to 776 of the family's 1533-position model. The record is from RNAcentral.
UACGUAGGGGGCUAGCGUUGUCCGGAAUCAUUGGGCGUAAAGCGCGCGUAGGCGGCCCGAUAAGUCUGCUGUGAAAGUCCAGGGCUCAACCCUGGAAUGCCGGUGGAUACUGUCGGGCUAGAGUUCGGAAGAGGCAAGUGGAGUUCCUGGUGUAGCGGUGGAAUGCGCAGAUAUCAGGAGGAACACCUAUAGCGAAGGCAGCUUGCUGGGACGACACUGACGCUGAGGCGCGAAAGCGUGGGGAGCGAACAGG